CAUAGGUUAAUGAGGCGAACCGGGGGAACUGAAACAUCUAAGUACCCCGAGGAAAAGAAAUCAACCGAGAUUCCCCCAGUAGCGGCGAGCGAACGGGGAGCAGCCCAGAGCCUGAAUCAGUGUGUGUGUUAGUGGAAGCGUCUGGAAAGGCGCGCGAUACAGGGUGACAGCCCCGUACACAAAAAUGCACAUACUGUGAGCUCGAUGAGUAGGGCGGGACACGUGGUAUCCUGUCUGAAUAUGGGGGGACCAUCCUCCAAGGCUAAAUACUCCUGACUGACCGAUAGUGAACCAGUACCGUGAGGGAAAGGCGAAAAGAACCCCGGCGAGGGGAGUGAAAAAGAACCUGAAACCGUGUACGUACAAGCAGUGGGAGCACGCUUAGGCGUGUGACUGCGUACCUUUUGUAUAAUGGGUCAGCGACUUAUAUUCUGUAGCAAGGUUAACCGAAUAGGGGAGCCGAAGGGAAACCGAGUCUUAACUGGGCGUUAAGUUGCAGGGUAUAGACCCGAAACCCGGUGAUCUAGCCAUGGGCAGGUUGAAGGUUGGGUAACACUAACUGGAGGACCGAACCGACUAAUGUUGAAAAAUUAGCGGAUGACUUGUGGCUGGGGGUGAAAGGCCAAUCAAACCGGGAGAUAGCUGGUUCUCCCCGAAAGCUAUUUAGGUAGCGCCUCGUGAAUUCAUCUCCGGGGGUAGAGCACUGUUUCGGCAAGGGGGUCAUCCCGACUUACCAACCCGAUGCAAACUGCGAAUACCGGAGAAUGUUAUCACGGGAGACACACGGCGGGUGCUAACGUCCGUCGUGAAGAGGGAAACAACCCAGACCGCCAGCUAAGGUCCCAAAGUCAUGGUUAAGUGGGAAACGAUGUGGGAAGGCCCAGACAGCCAGGAUGUUGGCUUAGAAGCAGCCAUCAUUUAAAGAAAGCGUAAUAGCUCACUGGUCGAGUCGGCCUGCGCGGAAGAU
Molecule: ribosomal RNA, 967 nt
Filed under: Escherichia coli
Lineage: Bacteria; Pseudomonadati; Pseudomonadota; Gammaproteobacteria; Enterobacterales; Enterobacteriaceae
Description: partial 23S ribosomal RNA
Rfam family: Bacterial large subunit ribosomal RNA
Source: RNAcentral